GCGUGGAUGAACUCUGUGUUACUGUCAGUAGUAGAUCCAGUCAGACACCAUGCAAAAUCAUCCUUUCACUACUUCUUUACUAAGGGUGAGUGCUGACCUGUGCCUCACCUACUCCAUGGAGAAGUGAAUACAAGU
Molecule: small nucleolar RNA, 135 nt
Organism: Hucho hucho (huchen)
Lineage: Eukaryota; Metazoa; Chordata; Actinopteri; Salmoniformes; Salmonidae
Source: Ensembl